This is a non-coding RNA of Salvia hispanica, 338 nucleotides long. The record is from RefSeq and is a predicted model, not a curated record. Lineage: Eukaryota; Viridiplantae; Streptophyta; Magnoliopsida; Lamiales; Lamiaceae.
GCAGAGAAAAAUACGGAAGAGGAAAAAGAAAAAAAAUAGAAUUGAGGGUCAUAGUGCAAGAGACGGGAUCGGUGUUCAACUAGUUUGUUUAUCACAUUUCAGGAAUAAGAUAUCGGUGAAAUUAUUUGUUGACAUGGGUCGUAGGAACUCCACAUGUUAUCAGGGUCGGCGGCUGACGCAUUUUGGCAACCUUCUCCUCCUCAUCAUUUUUGUAUAUAGAUAAAUGUAUAAUAGUAUAUAGAGUGGUGAGAGGGUCUCGCUACUGUUUAGAAUGUUUGAAAUAUGUUCUUGAUAAAUGUUGAUUUUUGAAAUGAUAUAAUAUGUGCGUUUUAUGUACU